UACGAGUCUCUCGCAGUCUCAAAACCAACCUUACAACUCUGAGCGGUGGAUCACUUGGCUUGUGGAUGCUAUGAAGACCAUAGCUAAGUGUGAGAAUGGCAGCGAGCCGUCGCUAUAUGCGCUGUCCUCUUCUUAUCACAUGUCGAAUGCACAUUGCGCCCCACCCAGCGGUCGGCUAACCUCCUGCAGACAAAAGCCUGUGUGCUUGGAGCAAAGGUUGAUGUGUGGCCCUCGAGCAACGGCGGGGGAGCCAGGAGCACAUUGACGUGCGUUCCAGCCACUCGUGAGUAGUCAGGCUGAACCCCAUGGUGGGGCACUCCUAGUCGAGUGUGGUGGAUCGGGCUCUUCUCCUAUCGUGCUUUUGUUUACGCGAAGGAGUUUGAGUUUCUUUGUUGCUGGUGGCUAUUCUGGUCGACAUCAGUCGUGCCUGUAAAAACCUGCCUUGGCUCGUGCCUCUGUGCGUUUAACUUACGCGGUUGCGCAUAUCGAAAGGCCAUAGCUGGCGAUCACUCGUGCGGCCAGGGCUACACCUAAUGCCAGGUUCCUUUUUGGAUAAUGGCCGGUGUAGCGCAGAGGUCCAAAAGUUCGGAAUACGUUAACGUUCGAGAGACGGGUCUGUGUUUCUCAGUCUCCCUCAUGCACAGCGAGUGGUGUACGAUACUUAACCAAACAUGCUUGUCACUCACUCACUCACUCAGCCGCCCGUCCUGAUCACGCGCUUAUCCGGCCAAGGCUCGUUUCUCUUACUAUCCGAGAACGACACACGAGACCUACAUCUUUCGUUCAUGCUGGUUGUCCGACAAACGCCUGACGAGUUCAGGAAGGAUUUUCCACGUGUGGACGGAGUAACGGAUUUGACGCGCAGUAUCGUACCACUCCCUUCACUGUGUGUCUGCGAAGAAUAGAAUCAGACCCGCCAUCUCGACUUUGCAUAUGUAUGCCACCACCUCGACUUAGGAGAGGAUACCCGCUGAACUUAAGCAUAUCAGUAAGCGGAGGAAAAGAAACCAAUCAGGGAUUCCCUUAGUAGGGGCGACCGAAAAGGGAUGAGCCCAGCGCAGAACCUCCCGGGCCACCCGGCCUGCGGCGGAAUGUUGCGUUAAGGGAAAGGUCGUAGUCAAACCCCACAGCCACGCGAGCACUAAGUAAGUCACGAAUUGGCUAUCCCAACUAACGGAGGGAGCAUCUCCACGGAGGGUGUCAGACCCGUGUGGGCGCGUGUAAAUGCUGUGUGGGCUCGGCCUCUUUUCCCUGAGAGUCGCGUUGCUUGAGCAUGCAGCGCUAAGCAGGUCGUAAACUCGAUCUAAGGCUAAAUAUGUCCACAAGACCGAUAGUGAACAAGUACCGUGAGGGAAAGUUGAAAAGCACUCUGAAGAGAGAGUCAAAAGACCGUGAAACCGCUC
This 1403-nucleotide ribosomal RNA is filed under the name Niphargus steueri. RNAcentral describes it as "eukaryotic LSU rRNA". The stretch from base 944 to 1403 matches the Rfam family "Eukaryotic large subunit ribosomal RNA", at positions 1 to 410 of the family's 3401-position model. Lineage: Eukaryota; Metazoa; Arthropoda; Malacostraca; Amphipoda; Niphargidae. The record is from RNAcentral.